This is a long non-coding RNA of Oxyura jamaicensis (ruddy duck), 642 nucleotides long. RefSeq lists it as uncharacterized. The transcript is spliced from 2 exons. The record is from RefSeq and is a predicted model, not a curated record. Lineage: Eukaryota; Metazoa; Chordata; Aves; Anseriformes; Anatidae.
CAGAAUUAAAAUUGAGAUCUCCUGAGUCUCAGACCAGAUCCUUAUAAUCAUUGUUUUGUUGCUGCUACCAUCUGUAAUGCCUGAAAAGCCACUUCCACUGGGGAAAGCAUUACAACAAAAUAAGGAAGAAGAAAACCCAAUCUGGGCAUGAUGAGCCAUAAAGCAGCCCUGAAGCUCUGGGUUCCCGUGGUGCCCCAUGAAGAGCAGGAGGGACAGUGGCUGUAUCAAGAAAGCCUCCCCCAGCUACAGACAUCUUCCCCCUUGUUAACAGCAGCACUGAAGCUAGAAAACCUGGCUCUGCGGUGUUGGGGCAUAGGAUCCAUUUUGCUGCAUCCUGCAGCUGCCCACUCUAGGCAACUGCCUACUUUCCUAGCCGUGACUGCAGAAAUAGCAUCAACCCUUUGAAUCAGAAUGGAAUCCAUUAUUGCAACGCUGGUUCUGAUGUUUGUCAUAAAGGCAGCUGCCCUAAACAGAGCACUGCCUUCCUGUGUGUGCCAACCAGCAAGCAUUAACCUCAUGCCAAGCAAAGAUGCCAUUCAUACCAAAACAGUAUUUUAAAAUAUGUGGAAACAACAUUCUUACUAUUGCCUUUAUCAUUUAUGCAAGGAAGAUCUUUAAUAUAUGGGUAAAUUUCAAUUUGGA